AGUGAACGCUGGCGGUAGGCCUAACACAUGCAAGUCAAACGGCAGCACAGUAAGAGCUUGCUCUUACGGGUGGCGAGUGGCGGACGGGUGAGGAAUACAUCGGAAUCUACUUUUUCGUGGGGGAUAACGUAGGGAAACUUACGCUAAUACCGCAUACGACCUACGGGUGAAAGCAGGGGAUCUUCGGACCUUGCGCGAUUGAAUGAGCCGAUGUCGGAUUAGCUAGUUGGCGGGGUAAAGGCCCACCAAGGCGACGAUCCGUAGCUGGUCUGAGAGGAUGAUCAGCCACACUGGAACUGAGACACGGUCCAGACCCCUACGGGAGGCAGCAGUGGGGAAUAUUGGACAAUGGGCGCAAGCCUGAUCCAGCCAUACCGCGUGGGUGAAGAAGGCCUUCGGGUUGUAAAGCCCUUUUGUUGGGAAAGAAAAGCAGCAGGUUAAUACCCCGCUGUUCUGACGGUACCCAAAGAAUAAGCACCGGCUAACUUCGUG
This 492-nucleotide ribosomal RNA is filed under the name uncultured bacterium. RNAcentral describes it as "partial 16S ribosomal RNA". It matches the Rfam family "Bacterial small subunit ribosomal RNA", at positions 29 to 507 of the family's 1533-position model. The record is from RNAcentral.